CUGGAAAAGACAGUGAUGUUAUAGUUCCAAGCACAUAUCUGAGCUGUACGUGUGGACAACCCUACAACUGAGUCUUUUCCAC
This 82-nucleotide small nucleolar RNA is filed under the name Procavia capensis (Cape rock hyrax). Its description in RNAcentral is "Small nucleolar RNA SNORD121A (ENSPCAG00000019009.1)". It matches the Rfam family "Small nucleolar RNA SNORD121A". Lineage: Eukaryota; Metazoa; Chordata; Mammalia; Hyracoidea; Procaviidae. The record is from RNAcentral.